Molecule: non-coding RNA, 968 nt
Organism: Punica granatum (pomegranate)
Lineage: Eukaryota; Viridiplantae; Streptophyta; Magnoliopsida; Myrtales; Lythraceae
Source: RefSeq, a predicted model, not a curated record
CACACACACACACACAAAGCUUUGAUCCCCUCUUCUCCUUCUUCCUCCCCUUGUUUUCCACUCAAUCGACCUCCUCCCACCGAUCUUCUCUGCAGCAGAGUAAAUGGGUAGCUAGAGAUAGUAUUAACAUGCUCAAAGCUUGAUCCUUUUUUGCUCUGGUUUCAAAUGGGUUCCUGCCAAAAGGUUUUAUUUUUGUCCUGAGUAGUUCUGGAGCUGUUGGGGUUUCUGAUUUUCAAGGUGGGUUCUCGCUAUUUGAGCUCGAGAAGUGUUGCAGUGGGGCGAGAAGCUUCAGGAGGAGCAGUAGCAGCAGCUGUGAACCGGAGCUCGUCCUCUUCGAGGAGGUGGAAGAAGAUUGAGAGCAUUGGGAAGAUGAAGUUUGGUUCUUUUGGUAUUGUGAGGGGGCUCUGAACCAGCACGACAACCAGAGCCAGAUUCAUGUUGCUGGGAAGAUGUGCUCCAACGGAGCUAGUGAUGUCGCCUGAGGGGGGACAUUGCUAGAAGUUCGAUAGGCCCUCGACGACCACCCUCUGAGAAAGGGCGGCCAGCAGAGAGAGAGGACCUACCUUGAAGGCUAGCUCAACUCACUGUUAUGGUUUCGGAUGAAAUUUAAACGGUGUGCUAGAUUUGAAAAGAGAAUGGUGAUUUGUGCUAUGACGUGUCAAUUUUUAAAACCGUGCUAGGAGGUGAAAAUGCCGUUCAAACUGUGUUAAGGGGUGCUAUUUUCCCUAAAUUAAAUCAUCAUCUUUGGUGGUAAGAGGCCCAAUAAAAAAAUGAAAUUAUUCUAGAGAAUAGAGAAGUGUUUUUAUUUCAUUUUUUCUCAAAAGGUGUUUUCAUUUCUUCUUCAAGUUUUAUUAGAAAUCUAUCUAUAUAUGCAUAUAAAACCAGGAUAAAGGUGGGCCGAUUAAAUUUUUUUAGAACGCUCCGUUUCUGAAUGAAGUAUUCUCGAUUUUUAAAAAUUUUUGAACAAA